CUCUCUGCAAAAAAAUUACAACAAAUGCACUAAACUCCGCCGAAAUUUCCUAAAAAAUAAUAUUUCAGCCAAGUAAAAUAUGGACGGAGCGAUCCCUUUUUAAUCGCAUAGUUGCCAGCUAAAUUUUUGCACUGAAAACAAAACUUGAAAUGUGUAUAGUUAAACUUAAAUUACAGACCAUCAGGAAAAUUGAGUGAGU
This 199-nucleotide long non-coding RNA is filed under the name Hordeum vulgare. Its description in RNAcentral is "long non-coding RNA (HVUL_LNC019016)". Lineage: Eukaryota; Viridiplantae; Streptophyta; Magnoliopsida; Poales; Poaceae. The record is from RNAcentral.